GCAGCCAUCAUUUAAAGAAAGCGUAAUAGCUCACUGGUCGAGUCGGCCUGCGCGGAAGAUGUAACGGGGCUAAACCAUGCACCGAAGCUGCGGCAGCGACACUUAUGUGUUGUUGGGUAGGGGAGCGUUCUGUAAGCCGUUGAAGGUGUGCUGUGAGGCAUGCUGGAGGUAUCAGAAGUGCGAAUGCUGACAUAAGUAACGAUAAA
This 206-nucleotide ribosomal RNA is filed under the name Enterobacter hormaechei. RNAcentral's name for it is "partial 23S ribosomal RNA". It matches the Rfam family "Bacterial large subunit ribosomal RNA", at positions 1112 to 1316 of the family's 2925-position model. The record is from RNAcentral. Lineage: Bacteria; Pseudomonadati; Pseudomonadota; Gammaproteobacteria; Enterobacterales; Enterobacteriaceae.